UAUAGUACAUAUUGCGGCAGAAGCUCUGUACGCCGACGCUCGCCAAAGGCCGUGGGCGAGUCCACUUUGUCUUUACUCCCCUUCUUCUCCGAUUUGCUUGGAGACGUUCUCUCUCUUUGAAAUCGUCCACCUAGAUUGACGUUCCAAAUUUUACCGGCACUAUGGAGACUCAAGAAAGAAGAUUUUCCAAGUUCAUUUUGUUCGACCUUCAUAAAAUGCAAUUUUAAAUUUGUUUUUGACACCAAGCCAGGGCUCCUGUACUGGACCGACAGCAGCGGACACAUCAUGCCUCCUGAUCCUGACCUAGUUCGGAGCAAGACGAGGGCUUCGCCCCCGGACUAAACCAGGCCUAACCACAACCAACUCGCAGCGGAAGGACUUCACCCAGAAACAUUCUACGAGAACUUUGGCCUUCUUCACCUCUACAAACCAGGUGCUAUCUACUCCAUGUUAUCAUUAUUAUUCCAACGUUUGCAUUCAGCCUACCUUCAAGAACAGUUCAUUUAUAUCAAGUUUUUCCCCAAUUUAAAGUUUUACCGUUUCAAUUUCUUAAACUCUGUAGCCUAGCAAAUUGAGCUUAGUGUUUCCCUAACUAGGCCUACUUCUUAUUUCUGGACUAAACUACAGACUAAUAAUCCCCUUGUGUUUUACUGUUUCAAAAUAAAUGUUUUUAUUUCGCUAUCGCUGCGAGUUGAGUUGUGGAACUGGAACUAACAAAAGUCAACAAGAAUACAUUAUUUAUAUCACGGGUCUACGAGUUUUUUUUUUAAAAGCUACAAGAAUUCAUGUAUUUAGUAGGGGGUCACAUUUCCUUGUUAUUUCAUUAUUUUGUGUAUGUACCAUGUUAUGUUAGUAAUAGGCUAAAAAUUUCUGUUCUAACGGGGAAACUUUCGGCCCAAUUGUUCUAAAUUUCAUUUCGGUUCACGCCAGUACUAAAUUCUUCCCCACAAUUUUUGCCAUUUUAAAAAUUCUAUUUCUUACUGUUUAAAUUAGAAUUCUAUUCUGAUGUUAGUGUAUAUUUGUGUAUAAUUGUCUUAUGUUGCUAUUUAAAUAUUUUCAUGUCAAUGUUGAGUGUAAUUUUGAACUGUAAGGUUGUUCGAACGUUUUUCUUUAAACGCAACUUGUUAUUGAUAUUUUGGUCAAAUACUAUUUUUAAAUGAUUUCAUUGUAAGGUCAUUUCAAUUCAACGUCUGUUUUAUGUAAUAUUUUCAAUUUCUUGCCUUUUAAGAUUCAUAUUUUUAAAUUUAUCAUUGUCCUAAACCUUUUCCGAGUAGGCCUAACCUAACUUAAAGUAAGGAUUUUCUUCUAGUUACCAGCUUGGUCCUUAAACUUAAACUUGAACUUCAACUUUUGGUAAAGUUUAUAUAUACAUAAAUGUUUUAAAUGUUUUGGUAAAUGAUUUAGGCCUAACACUGGUAUUGAUUUACAUUCUAAGCCUUGUACCAAUUUGUAUAUAUUAUUUCGCUGUUGUUUAAGGGCGCAUAUUUGUUAAUAUUUUUAAUUGAGUUGGUAAUAAAAGAUGUUAAUCACU
Macrosteles quadrilineatus (aster leafhopper) is the source of this 1531-nucleotide long non-coding RNA. RefSeq lists it as uncharacterized. The record is from RefSeq and is a predicted model, not a curated record. Lineage: Eukaryota; Metazoa; Arthropoda; Insecta; Hemiptera; Cicadellidae. The transcript is spliced from 2 exons.